GGCCCGUUGGUCAAGCGGUUAAGACACCGCACUUUCACGGCGGUAACACGGGUUCGAAUCCCGUACGGGUCA
Molecule: transfer RNA, 72 nt
Filed under: Enterococcus faecium
Lineage: Bacteria; Bacillati; Bacillota; Bacilli; Lactobacillales; Enterococcaceae
Also listed under: 1 other name
Description: tRNA-Glu
Rfam family: tRNA
About the family: Transfer RNA (tRNA) molecules are approximately 80 nucleotides in length. Their secondary structure includes four short double-helical elements and three loops (D, anti-codon, and T loops).
Source: RNAcentral